RNAcentral lists this ribosomal RNA (443 nucleotides) under uncultured bacterium. RNAcentral's name for it is "partial 16S ribosomal RNA". It matches the Rfam family "Bacterial small subunit ribosomal RNA", at positions 338 to 795 of the family's 1533-position model. The record is from RNAcentral.
CCUACGGGUGGCAGCAGUGGGGAAUAUUGGACAAUGGGGGGAACCCUGAUCCAGCGACGCCGCGUGAGUGAAGAAGUAUUUCGGUAUGUAAAGCCCUAUCAGCAGGGAAGCAAGAAAUGACGGUCCCUGACUAAGAAGCGUCGGCUAACCACGUGCCUGCAGGCGCGGUAAUCCGUAGGCGGCAAUCGUUAUCCGGAUUUACUGGGUGUAAAGGGUGCGUAGGCGGGGAUGCAAGUCUGAAGGGAAAGGCGGGGGCCCAACCUCCGGACUGCUUUGGAAACUGGAUGGCUGGAGUGCGGGAGAGGUAAGUGGAAUGCCUGGUGUAGCGGUGAAAUGCGUAGAUAUUAGGAGGAACACCAGUGGCGAAGGCGGCUUACUGGACUGUAACUGACGUUGAGGCUCGAAAGCGUGGGGAGCGAACAGGAUUAGAUACCCCAGUAGUC